UACAAGGUGUCAAGGUACAAGCAG
Molecule: non-coding RNA, 24 nt
Filed under: Arabidopsis thaliana (thale cress)
Lineage: Eukaryota; Viridiplantae; Streptophyta; Magnoliopsida; Brassicales; Brassicaceae
Source: RNAcentral